AUGGACAUCAGCUCAGCGCUGCUCAUUUUAAUCAUCAGCUUUUUAGAUGUUGAUGGUCAGACUCUGAGAGAAUCUGAACCAGUGGUUAAAAGACCAGGAGAGUCUCACCAACUGACCUGUACGGCCUCUGGAUUCACAUUCAGCAGCUACUACAUGGCCUGGAUCAGACAGGCUCCUGGAAAAGGACUGGAAUGGGUUUCAAUGCAUGAUAGUGGCGGUGGUAGUAGCAAAUGGUAUUCUCAGUCAGUGCAAGGCCGGUUUACCAUUUCCAAGGACAACAGCAAACAGCAGGUGUAUCUGCAGAUGAACAGCCUGAGAACAGAAGAUUCUGCUGUUUAUUACUGUGCUCGAAGCGCACAGUGA
Molecule: non-coding RNA, 363 nt
Organism: Cyprinodon variegatus (sheepshead minnow)
Lineage: Eukaryota; Metazoa; Chordata; Actinopteri; Cyprinodontiformes; Cyprinodontidae
Source: the annotation of a RefSeq genome assembly